UUCAUAUGUCGGUAAAUCCUUGUCCAAAUGUCGGUUUUAAUGUGCAACUGCCGGGAUUUCAUUUUGGGUGGCUCCAAACUAUUUCUUAAUCUUCUCUUCUAUCUCACACAUAAGCGCGUCCUUUCCAUUACCUUCCAAAAACUCGGUAGCAACCCAUUCACCCAGGGACCCAAAAAAGCUUCUUUCUUUUAAGGUUCAACAUUGAAGCAGACCCAAGAAAAG
RNAcentral lists this unclassified non-coding RNA (222 nucleotides) under Hevea brasiliensis (rubber tree). Lineage: Eukaryota; Viridiplantae; Streptophyta; Magnoliopsida; Malpighiales; Euphorbiaceae. The record is from RNAcentral.